GUCCAGGAAUGGGAAUCGAACCCACAAUGUUCCGCUUACCGGGCAGAUGCCAUGUCCACUAAGCUACCCUGGA
Molecule: non-coding RNA, 73 nt
Organism: Cordylochernes scorpioides
Lineage: Eukaryota; Metazoa; Arthropoda; Arachnida; Pseudoscorpiones; Chernetidae
Source: the annotation of a GenBank genome assembly